GCAAUGGUGGUUCGGUGGCAGAAUUCUCCCCUUCCAUGCAGGAAACCCAGGUUCAAUUUCUGGCCAAUGCA
Molecule: transfer RNA, 71 nt
Filed under: Loxodonta africana (African savanna elephant)
Lineage: Eukaryota; Metazoa; Chordata; Mammalia; Proboscidea; Elephantidae
Rfam family: tRNA
About the family: Transfer RNA (tRNA) molecules are approximately 80 nucleotides in length. Their secondary structure includes four short double-helical elements and three loops (D, anti-codon, and T loops).
Source: Rfam by way of RNAcentral